This 638-nucleotide ribosomal RNA is filed under the name uncultured bacterium. Its description in RNAcentral is "bacterial SSU rRNA". It matches the Rfam family "Bacterial small subunit ribosomal RNA", at positions 262 to 917 of the family's 1533-position model. The record is from RNAcentral.
GGCUCACCAAGGCGAUGAUGGGUAGCCGGCCUGAGAGGGUGAUCGGCCACAAGGGGACUGAGACACGGCCCUUACUCCUACGGGAGGCAGCAGUGGGGAAUAUUGGACAAUGGACCGAGAGUCUGAUCCAGCAAUUCUGUGUGCACGAUGAAGUUUUUCGGAAUGUAAAGUGCUUUCAGUUGGGAAGAAAUAAAUGACGGUACCAACAGAAGAAGUGACGGCUAAAUACGUGCCAGCAGCCGCGGUAAUACGUAUGUCACGAGCGUUAUCCGGAUUUAUUGGGCGUAAAGCGCGUCUAGGUGGUUAUAUAAGUCUGAUGUGAAAAUGCAGGGCUCAACUCUGUAUUGCGUUGGAAACUGUAUAACUAGAGUACUGGAGAGGUAAGCGGAACUACAAGUGUAGAGGUGAAAUUCGUAGAUAUUUGUAGGAAUGCCGAUGGGGAAGCCAGCUUACUGGACAGAUACUGACGCUGAAGCGCGAAAGCGUGGGUAGCAAACAGGAUUAGAUACCCUGGUAGUCCACGCUGUAAACGAUGAUUACUAGGUGUUGGGGGUCGAACCUCAGCGCCCAAGCAAACGCGAUAAGUAAUCCGCCUGGGGAGUACGUACGCAAGUAUGAAACUCAAAGGAAUUGACGGC